GUGGCUCAAAGAGAUUUAAUCACGUGCUCGAGACCACACGGUUAGGAAGCAGAGAAGUCAUUAUUUGAUCUAAAGUUUGCUUUCACUGAAAUCAUGCCAUUUGCAGCAACAUGGAUGGAUCUAGAGAUUAUCAUACUAAGGUGGGUGUGCGAUGCUGUAGCACACGUGUGUGAGAGGACCUCCCUCCACUGUGUCACCAUCUGCAGUGUGGUCAGCAGGAGAGCCCAGUGGAAGAAAUGACCCCGCAGGAAUCUUGAAGACGUCCUCUUGACGACGUGGGAUGAGAAGUGACUGAUGGCGAGCAGAAUUCCAGGCUGUGUCCACCGCACAGAGUCGCGCCUGCUGGAUCACACAGGAUUGACCAGAGACCCCACGGAGACCAACAAAAAUUACUCAGGCCUGCUCACAAGUGAACUGUGGCUCAAUACCAAGCAAUUGCUUCCGGAUGUGCUUGUUACAGCAGAGAGAUGAAAAACAAGUUCCAAGCU
Balaenoptera ricei (Rice's whale) is the source of this 488-nucleotide long non-coding RNA. RefSeq lists it as uncharacterized. The transcript is spliced from 3 exons. The record is from RefSeq and is a predicted model, not a curated record. Lineage: Eukaryota; Metazoa; Chordata; Mammalia; Artiodactyla; Balaenopteridae.